This 6333-nucleotide long non-coding RNA is filed under the name Sus scrofa (pig). RNAcentral's name for it is "lncRNA (ENSSSCG00065024460.1)". The record is from RNAcentral. Lineage: Eukaryota; Metazoa; Chordata; Mammalia; Artiodactyla; Suidae.
CUUUUCUUUUCUUUUUUUUUUUUUUUUCCUUUUAUUUUCCCUUCUAUACAGCAUUAGUCAGGGUCUCCAUAGAAACGGAAGCUGUGUGUGUAUGAUUAAUUAUAAGGAAGGGGCUCGUGUGAUUAUGGAGAUGAGCAGGUCCUAAGAUCUGUAGGGUGAGUAGGCAAGCUGGAGACCCAGCAGAGCCAGUGACUGAGCCUGUGUUCCAGUCCUUGUGUGAUGGCUGAGAGGCAGCAGAACCCUGGUGUAGUCUGAAGCAGGUCCAAAGCUAGCAGACCCAAGAAGAGCCAAGGUCAUGAGUCAAAAGCAGGAAAAUGCCUUUGUCCCAGGCUUUCGGGCUUUCGGGCUUUCGGGCAGGAGGCGUUCUCUCAUACUCCGGGAGAGCCAGUCUUCUGGCUGUGUUCAGGCCUUGAACCUGAAUAGGGUCCUGUUCUACCACCCCCACCCCCACCCCUGAUUAGGGAGGGCAAUCUGCUUUGCUCAGCCUACUUAUUUCAAUCAUUUCAAUUACUCAGCUAUUAGCCCCACCCCAAAACAUCCUCACAGGGACACUGAAUAGUGUUUGACCAAGUAGCUGGGUACCCCGUGGCCNUUUCGGGCAGGAGGCGUUCUCUCAUACUCCGGGAGAGCCAGUCUUCUGGCUGGACACUGAAUAGUAUUUGACCAAGUAGCUGGGUACCCCAUGGCCCAUUCAAGGUGACACAUCAAGUUAACCAUCACAGAUGCCUUCCGAGUCCUUGCACACAGGACACUACUGCAGUUGCUAAGACUGUGAGCUCUCAGGUCACUACUUCUGCUUCCCAUUUCUCCUCUUUUCUUUUUUCUUUUCUUUUUUUUUUUUUUUUUUUUUUUUUUUUUUUUUUUUUUGUUCCCCUUGGCCACCCUGGGGUUUAUGGAGCUCCCAGGCCAGGGAUCAGAUCCUAGCCGCAGUUGUGACCUACACCAAAGCUGUGGCAACGCCAGAUUCUUUAACCCACUGUGCUGGGCCAGGGAUCAAACCUGCCUCCUGGCGCUACAGAGGUACCACUGAUCCCGUUGUACCACAGCAGGAACUCCUCUUCUCUUUUCUUUACGGUAAAGUUUCUAGAAAGGGAAAUCUAGCCUCACUGUCAGGAAUUUCUCACCUGUCACUCACUGGUCAACCCAAUGACAUGGGACCUCUGUCCCCAUCACUCCAUUGAAAUUGAUUUCCUUAAGAAGGUCCAUAAUCUAAUUGUCGAAUUCUGUCCUCUCUUGCUUCCCAUAAUAGCACAGCAUCCUGAAUUUCCUCCUACCUCUCCAGCCUCUUUCCUUCUGUGAUAUUCCCUAGGGGGCCACCUUCGUCUUUUAUAACCUCCAUCCCCUGUGUCAUACACUUCCUCAAAAUACCAGCCAUGCUCCCAAACUCAAACUCUGUAUCUUGGAGUUCCCAUGUGGCACAGUGGGUUAAGGAUCCAGGUUUGUCACUGCAGCAGCUCAGGUCACUGCUGUGGUUCAGGUGGAUCCCUGGCCAGGAAAUUUCCACAUGCUGCACGCACAGCAAAGACAACAGCAAAAAUCUAUGUCUUCAACAUGCAUCUCUCAGAGUUCCCAUUGUGGCUCAGUGGUAAUGAACCCGACUAGUAUCCAUGAGGAUGCAGGUUCAAUCCCUGGCCUCACUCAGUGGGUUGGGGAUCCAGCAUUGCCAUGAACUGUGAUGUAGGUUGCAGACACAGCUUGGAUUCCGUGUGGCUGUGGUGCAGGCCGGCUGUACAGCUCUGAUUUGACCCCUACCCUGGGAACUUCUACAUGCCUGCCGCAGGCGCAGCCCUGAAAAGCAAAAACAAAAACCCAAAAAAACAAAACAUACACUGUUCUUGGAACUGUAGUCUUGUGUGUGUAACUGCUCAUAGAUUCCUUCUCCACAUGACACUCCCCACCUGAAACUGGGAACUUAACAUAUCACAUUAAAUUCAUCGUUUUUGGAGUUCUUGUUGUGGUUCAGCAGGUUAAGAAUCUAACUAGUAUCCAUGAGGAUGCAGGUUCGAUCCCUGGCCUCAUUCAGUGGGUUAAGGAUCCAGCAUUGCCGCAAGCUGCAGCAUAGUUGCAGAUGCAGCUUGGAUCCAGCUUUGCCGUAGCUGUGGUGUAGGCUGGCAGCCACAGCUCUGAUUGAUCCCAUCAUCUUCAAACUUCCAUGCCAUGGGUGCAGCCCUAGGGGCGGGGCGGGGGGGUGCAGGCGAUGCUGUCAUCUACCCCAUCUUCUAAGCUUCCACCUGGGGGACAUUUAGGACAGCACCCCCUCACCCUUGCCCUCUAAUUCCAAUCAGUUCCUGUGCUCUAGCCUUUCUACUUCUACUUGCUAAAUACCCAUCUCUCUGCCUCUCCGCUGUCUCUGUCAUGGGCUUAAUCUGGACCCUCCUCAUUUCUCACCUGGACUGCAGCACGGCUUUGAAAUGGAUUUCCCUGCACCACCGUUCCAGCUGCCUUUCCACUUCCCCCACUAGAUUCACUGUGGUUUUUGUGACAAGCAAGUAUGAUCAAGACACUUGCCAGUUGUCAAAGUCUUCCCCGUUGUUUUGAGGAUGAAGGAUGAAGACAGUUGCAACAGCUGGGUAGAGAGGCCGUGAACUAAAACAGCGGCAACUGAGAUGGAGAGAUGCGGGGCUGGGGAGAGAGGAGCAGGAGGUCCUACGGAGCUAGAAGGGAAGAGAUCCCAUUACUGAUUAGAUGUCGGGAGUGGGGAUAGUGGAAGCACGAAGGAAAACGCCCCAUCAUCAUCUGAGUUGGAUGAUUGAGUGGGCGUGGCCUCAUUCUCCGAGACUAGGGACCGAGACCUUCCUUCCCUCGUGGUCUGUUGUGACCUCAGCAGGACACCUCAUCUGGGGCAACAAGGUCUUUAGGAAACUGGGGAGUCUGGGCGGAGAUGAGUUAGAACCUGGUAAAGAAGAAGAAGUAAACCUCUCUUCUGCCAGGAGGCUCCUAAAAGUUUGCUGGCAAAGACCAGGAAAAGAACCAGGACCAUGCGCUCAGCAAGACAUUACCUAAGUGCAAAAGGGUUUAAAGGACUCAUAACUCUGACUUCCAUCCUCAUUUAUUUCAUGAGCAUUGCCGUUCCCUUUUUCUCGGUCAGGGUUUUGGCUGUGUUUGGAAUAUCUUGCCCUUUGCAAAAAAUUCUAAAACACAAAUUGUUCUGUUGCUGUGCCUCCAGGGUGCACAUAGAUAAACCAAUAGACAGCUCUUGUCAUCUCACUGUCUUUUCUGAGUCUUACUCAGUUAAAACAAAGGAAAGGCUUGUUUGCUAGACCUUUGAAACAUACCUGAGCAUGUCCAAUUCACUCAAAAGCCAAUUCCCUCCAGGGAUCACUCUGAAGGAACCCAAGUCAUUUGAAAAUCUAUACACCAACAAUUGAUUAAAUUGAGCCAGAUCCCCCAGUUGAACUGUUUAGCCAAAUUCAGGUAUAUCCAAUACAUUGGGGUAGUAAGUCCUCAACACAUUUUUCUUCGGCACGGCCAGAUAAGAUUAUUUAUUGUUUUACACAAAUCGGAAAUAUAUAUGCUAUAACUACGAAGUUUUCAUAGGUAACCUGGUUAGAGUCCUGAACGGGACCCAAGAGAAGGCUGAUCUUUCUGCCAGAGAGCAGCAAAAAAAUCUGACUUUCUGCUCUGCGAGCAGGUGGCUGAUGGACUGUUUUAUGAAGGGUUUAAUUAACUCUGUCGGUCUUGUCUUAGCUACCUACCAAAAUAAACUGUGCAAAUCCCAACAUGAUAGAAGGACUCUAUCAUCAGCUUAUCUGUGUAAGGCUCCACAGCCUAGGGAAAUGAAAUAACUAAGGAAGAGAAGUUAGUAAGUGUGUAGUUUUAAGAGGCCUCUAUUUCAGGUGCUGCCAGUGGCCAGACAGUGAACAGCCAGGGAGCCCUUCUGGCUGCUUUAUUCCUGGGCCCCAAGUUGUCCUCGGAGCCGUCAGGGGGAUCCAGCCGGGUUCAGUGCCUGGGCUCUGCUUGUCAUCUUGGUGUCCCCCUCAAGGGGACGUUGCCUGGCCCCCUGAUGAGGGUCGGUCGUUAUGACACUUUUACUCAUAAAUCUCACCCGGGUGAAGCCCCAUUCCCUUGGGACACUACCCAGUGGCAAAAGGGUAACCAGGUAAAUGCAUUCAAUGAAUAAUGGUCACUACUGAUACAUGCUUCAUGUCUGUGCCUUUCGAUUGAACAGCACUGCAUUCUCACCACCACCUCCAAGGCCUUAUCUCAAAAGCACAAGCAAAGUGGAAACAUCACACAGUGUGACAGAGAGUCAGAGAUAGAAAUAGAGAGAUCCUAGCUUUGAUCAAUAAUACCUUUCCUGGUAUCCCACCCACUAUACAUGCAGGUGAGAACCUAAAUAAGACCUAGAAUUGAGGACACAUUUUUGUCUGAGCCCUUUGUCUUCCAUUUGAGGAAGCUGGGGCCUGAAAAUGGCUGUGUUGCCCAAAGUCAUACCUGGACUAGAGCCCAGGUCUCCUGAUUUCAGGCCACUGAUCUUCCUGCCAUGUUGUCAGUUGCGAAUGGCCCAAUGGGAGGUGAAAAGGUUGGAGAACCCGGCUUAUCUUAGUAGCUACCCAGGUCUCUUCCCAUCAAGGACUUUAAAUAUAAGGUUCAGAGAGCAGACUAGGUAGACACCCAAGGAGAAAUGGGAAAAGUGUAGACUCAGUGGUCCAUUGCCCUCAGUCUGGGAAGCGGAAUGGGUUGGCAGGAAACCAGGAGCAUAGAUUGUCCUGAGGGAGCCGUAAGAGCUGCCUUCCUCAGUUGUGGAUAUUCCAUCCCACAGAAAGAACCAUCCAACGAGCAGAAGCCCUGCCAUUUUUAUCCUAAGCCCAAGAGUACUGCCCUGCUUCUGGAUUCCACCCCACCCACCCCUUCCUUUAGAAAGAGAUUCUUUGUUUCUCUACCACCAAUUCUCACAGACCUCCAGGGAAAGAGUCUUCUUCAUCAUAUGUCUUCAUUCCAUAAGCGUGUAUUGAGAACCUGCUAUGUACCAGAUGGUGAGCUGGGUCCUGGGGAAGCAAAGAUGGGAUAGACACAGUUAUUCUUCUCAAGAGCUCAUCCUCUGGAGGUCCCACUCGUGUAUAAGCGCUUGCUCACACAUGGGUCUAAUAGCCCCAUGUGGACGGUGGUCAUAUUUCUAAACCCCACAUGUCAACAUACGGUCUGAAAAAGAUUGCUUUUCAAUCUUUUGAUUGAAACUGUCUAUAUGAACAUCCUUCAAAGGGUUAAAAAUUAAAUUGCUUUCAUAAGUCCUUUAGCAGAGUUCCUUUACUGAAAAGAAAUAAAUUCUAUUAAAUCAGGCAUUUUUGAGAAAAAUCUGUGCUCUAUGUUCAUCAAACAUGUGUUUUUAACUUGUAAAAUUUAUAAUCAUAGGCUAUUGCAGUUGAAAAGGAUCUGACAGAUCACCUAAGCUGGUAGAAUUUGACUUUUUUAAUUUAUUUUUUAAACAAUGAAGCAGUUUUUAAAGCCAUGUAGCACCAAAAUGUCCCAAAUAUAAAACAGUUAAACUGGACCUGCUUUGGUCCAAGGAGAGAUGGAGAGCUCCCCUAAACUCCCCCUCCCACCCUGCCACUCAAGCUCCCUCAGAUUUUGGAACUGCACCCCACAAAAAUGACUAUCAAACUAGCCCUCACAUCCCAAAUGGAGACCUGAGAUCCAAAGAGAGUGGAACCUCAUUUUAAUGAAUUACAUCUGCAGCAAGCCAAUUUCCCAAUAAGGUCACAUUCUGAGAUCCUAGAAGUUAUUCCGACUUCCACACAUGAAUUGGGGAGGGGAGAGGACACAACUCAACAUAGCUCUGCUUCCUGCACAGUGGGGAUGGAGGUCUUGGUCAAGACAAGGAAGCCCCCAACACCAGAUCCUUAAGGGAGAGAGGUGAGCCUGUGUGACCACUCCUGCGGAGAAGUGAGGAGAGAGAGCGGGUGCACGGAGAGAUGUCCCUAAGAAAGCAAGAGAGGAUGGCGGUGAGACCAGAGAGAGGGAUUAGCCUGAGCAGCGGGGAGAGACUUCCUGUAUCAUCACAAGGAGACAGAAAGGAGAAAGGGAUGAGUUUGGAUGCAAAAGGAUAUCCCGAUAUGAAGGAGAGGAGUCAAGGUUGUUGCUUCAAAUGGUCCCAGCUUUCUUGUGAAGCAGGAGGAGAGGUUGCCUACUGAGGCUGACAGUGGAGUUUGGGGUUGGAGCUCAGUAGGUGGACAGGGAAUAGAAUCAGAGACUUGAGGACAGUGGAGAGAGUUUGAAAUAGCCCUGUGCAUAAUAGACCUUAGCCAGCUGUGUCUCAAGUAGGCACCAAAGAGGAUCGCUCAUAAUUGUAUCAGAAAAAUGGGAGAAUGAGGGGUGAGUUGACCAGGGAACAGA